Molecule: ribosomal RNA, 465 nt
Filed under: Vreelandella stevensii
Lineage: Bacteria; Pseudomonadati; Pseudomonadota; Gammaproteobacteria; Oceanospirillales; Halomonadaceae
Description: partial 16S ribosomal RNA
Rfam family: Bacterial small subunit ribosomal RNA
Source: RNAcentral
CCUACGGGUGGCAGCAGUGGGGAAUAUUGGACAAUGGGCGAAAGCCUGAUCCAGCCAUGCCGCGUGUGUGAAGAAGGCCUUCGGGUUGUAAAGCACUUUCAGUGGGGAAGAAAGCCUUGGGGCUAAUACCCUCGAGGAAGGACAUCACCCACAGAAGAAGCACCGGCUAACUCCGUGCCAGCAGCCGCGGUAAUACGGAGGGUGCGAGCGUUAAUCGGAAUUACUGGGCGUAAAGCGCGCGUAGGCGGUCUGAUAAGCCGGUUGUGAAAGCCCCGGGCUCAACCUGGGAACGGCAUCCGGAACUGUCAGGCUAGGGUGCAGGAGAGGAAGGUAGAAUUCCCGGUGUAGCGGUGAAAUGCGUAGUGAUCGGGAGGAAUACCAGUGGCGAAGGCGGCCUUCUGGACUGACACUGACGCUGAGGUGCGAAAGCGUGGGUAGCAAACAGGAUUAGAUACCCUAGUAGUC